CUAUAUUACGCGUAAAGGAUAUAGUGAAAAUAUCUGUAAUAAAUUCUAUACGAUAAAUGGAAUUAAAUUAGGAGAGAGCGAUAUGAAUGCAAGGCCUAAAGACUUUUGGUUGGGACCGAGCGCGCGUGUCUAGAUAGAAAUAAUGAUAAAGCUAACUACUCAACAAGGAUGAAAGUUUAAAAUAGAAAAAAAAGUUUGAUGAAAUUUGCAACAACAACAAAAGAAUUAGUUAUUACAAAAGUUAUAGGUGCAGAGUUUUACGAGCUAUGCUUUCUGUUCCAUUAUCCUGGCUUAUUCGAUGUAUAUACAGAAGGGAAUAAAACAUUCGCUGAACUCUAUCUACAUAAAGAGAAUAAUUCAAUAUCAUCUUAUAUCCAAG
Gordionus sp. m RMFG-2023 is the source of this 379-nucleotide long non-coding RNA. RefSeq lists it as uncharacterized. Lineage: Eukaryota; Metazoa; Nematomorpha; Gordioida; Chordodea; Parachordodidae. The record is from RefSeq and is a predicted model, not a curated record. The transcript is spliced from 4 exons.